GGAUAGAGGCCUACCAUGGUGGUAACGGGUAACGGGGUGUUAGGGCACGACACCGGAGAGGGAGCCUGAGAAACGGCUACCACAUCCAAGGAUGGCAGCUGGCGCGCAAAUUACCCAAUCCCGACACGGGGAGGUAGUGACAAUAAAUAACAAUACGGGGUUCUUUAGGAUCUCGUAAUUGGAAUGAGUACAAUUUAAAUCUCUUAACGAGGAACAAUUGGAGGGCAAGUCUGGUGCCAGCAGCCGCGGUAAUUCCAGCUCCAAUAGCGUAUAUUAAAGUUGUUGCAGUUAAAAAGCUCGUAGUUGAAUUUCGGGGUUAGUAGGUUGGUCAUGCCUCUGGUAUGUACUGGUCUCACUGAUUCCUCCUUCCUUAUGAACCGUAAUGCCAUUAAUUUGGUGUUGCGGGGAAUUUGGACUGUUACUUUGAAAAAAUUAGAGUGUUUAAAGCAAGCUAACGCUUGAAUACAUUAGCAUGGAAUAAUGAAAUAGGACGUUCGAUCUUAUUUUGUUGGUUUCUAGGAUUGACGUAAUGAUUAAUAGGGAUAGUUGGGGGCAUUAGUAUUCAAUUGUCAGAGGUGAAAUUCUUGGAUUUAUUGAAGACUAACUACUGCGAAAGCAUUUGCCAAGGAUGUUUUCAUUAAUCAAGAACGAAAGUUAGGGGAUCGAAGACGAUCAGAUACCGUCGUAGUCUUAACCAUAAACUAUGCCGACUAGGGAUCGGAUG
This 724-nucleotide ribosomal RNA is filed under the name uncultured fungus. RNAcentral describes it as "SSU rRNA". It matches the Rfam family "Eukaryotic small subunit ribosomal RNA", at positions 331 to 1059 of the family's 1831-position model. The record is from RNAcentral. Lineage: Eukaryota; Fungi.